GCGAACGCUGGCGGCAGGCCUAACACAUGCAAGUCGAACGAACCUUUCGGGGUUAGUGGCGGACGGGUGAGUAACACGUGGGAACGUGCCUUUAGGUUCGGAAUAACUCAGGGAAACUUGUGCUAAUACCGAAUGUGCCCUUCGGGGGAAAGAUUAAUCGCCUUUAGAGCGGCCCGGGUCUGAUUAGCUAGUUGGUUGAGGUAAUGGCUCACCAAGGCGACGAUCAGUAGCUGGUCUGAGAGGAUGAUCAGCCACAUUGGGACUGAGACACGGCCCAAACUCCUACGGGAGGCAGCAGUGGGGAAUCUUGCGCAAUGGGCGAAAGCCUGACGCAGCCAUGCCGCGUGAAUGAUGAAGGUCUUAGGAUUGUAAAAUUCUUUCACCGGGGACGAUAAUGACGGUACCCGGAGAAGAAGCCCCGGCUAACUUCGUG
RNAcentral lists this ribosomal RNA (433 nucleotides) under uncultured bacterium. Its description in RNAcentral is "partial 16S ribosomal RNA". It matches the Rfam family "Bacterial small subunit ribosomal RNA", at positions 29 to 507 of the family's 1533-position model. The record is from RNAcentral.